The sequence is a transfer RNA, 72 nucleotides long. It matches the Rfam family "tRNA". Rfam says of the family: Transfer RNA (tRNA) molecules are approximately 80 nucleotides in length. Their secondary structure includes four short double-helical elements and three loops (D, anti-codon, and T loops). The record is from Rfam.
UCCUCCUUAGCUCAGCGGUAGAGCGGUUGACUGUUAAUCAAUUUGUCCCUGGUUCGAUCCCAGGAGGGGGAG